AUACGUAGGGGGCAAGCGUUAUCCGGAUUUACUGGGUGUAAAGGGAGCGUAGACGGCAAAGCAAGUCUGAAGUGAAAGCCCCGGGCUCCACCCGGGAAUUGCUUUGGAAACUGUUUAGCUGGAGUGCAGGAGAGGUAAGCGGAAUUCCUAGUGUAGCGGUGAAAUGCGUAGAUAUUAGGAGGAACACCAGUGGCGAAGGCGGCUUACUGGACUGUAACUGACGUUGAGGCUCGAAAGCGUGGGGAGCAAACAGGAUUAGAUACCCUGGUAGUCCACGCUGUAAACGAUGAUUACUAGGUGUUGGGGACCAAAGGUCCUCGGUGCCGCCGCAAACGCAUUAAGUAAUCCACCUGGGGAGUACGUUCGCAAGAAUGAAACUCAAAUGAAUUGGCGGGG
This 396-nucleotide ribosomal RNA is filed under the name uncultured bacterium. Its description in RNAcentral is "partial 16S ribosomal RNA". It matches the Rfam family "Bacterial small subunit ribosomal RNA", at positions 523 to 918 of the family's 1533-position model. The record is from RNAcentral.